This 73-nucleotide transfer RNA is filed under the name Bacteroidales bacterium. Its description in RNAcentral is "tRNA-Thr". It matches the Rfam family "tRNA". Rfam says of the family: Transfer RNA (tRNA) molecules are approximately 80 nucleotides in length. Their secondary structure includes four short double-helical elements and three loops (D, anti-codon, and T loops). Further hydrogen bonds mediate the characteristic L-shaped molecular structure. tRNAs have two regions of fundamental functional importance: the anti-codon, which is responsible for specific mRNA codon recognition, and the 3' end, to which the tRNAs corresponding amino acid is attached (by aminoacyl-tRNA synthetases). tRNAs cope with the degeneracy of the genetic code in two manners: having more than one tRNA (with a specific anti-codon) for a particular amino acid; and 'wobble' base-pairing, i.e. permitting non-standard base-pairing at the 3rd anti-codon position. The record is from RNAcentral. Lineage: Bacteria; Pseudomonadati; Bacteroidota; Bacteroidia; Bacteroidales.
GCCACUUUAGCUCAGUUGGUAGAGCGACGCAUUCGUAAUGCGUAGGUCGUGGGUUCGAGUCCCAUUAGUGGCU